Ciona savignyi (Pacific transparent sea squirt) is the source of this 140-nucleotide non-coding RNA. The record is from Rfam. NCBI's taxonomy places the organism in Eukaryota, Metazoa, Chordata, Ascidiacea, Phlebobranchia, Cionidae.
AGCUUUGCGCAGUGGCAGUAACAUAGCUGAUGAGGUUCAUCCGAGACGUGUUUAUUGCUAGUUGAAAACUAUACCCAAUACCCCGCCCUGUGGACGUAUAAACCGUUCGCUGUGGCAAUUUCUGAUGGGUUCCCCGGAAC